AGAUCUCGUAAGGAUAUCAAAAAUAAAAUAUAACGAAAUGAGAAUUUUAUUCAAUACUUCAUUAAACCAUCCCAAAGAGCAUAUACAUAACUUAGUACAGUUGUUCAUACAGAUCGUAAUACAGUGCCAGGGAAAAAAAAACGAGGGCUCUGGAAAAAAAAAACAACAAGAAAAAACUCUUUAAAGAGUUUGUUGCAACAAAAGCCAGAGCAAACCUCUAAGAAAGAACCCAUGGCAACCUGAACAAAAUCUUGAACACGUGUACACAUCACACAGACCCUUUCGAGGAAAACCAAACAUGAACAAGACAAGCGACGCAAAGAAAACGAAACAUACCAAACAGGAGAUGAUAAACCCUAAAAUCUCGGUAAUACCCGGUAAGUAUAAUCUCAAGCAACCACACGACAUUCCGGUUUCAUGGUAAGCUAGAGUUCCCCUGAUCAAAAGGGAAACCCCUGCAAAAACAACAUUAACUGGAAAAAGAAACCGGAAGCCGAACUACUUGGAAAAAAAGGGUAAUACUGAGCAUAGCGAGAGAGAGACACGCGCCUGAAAAAGAGCUGACACUUAACUUGGAACAGUACUAAGAUACCUUCAUUAUAGGUGGAUAGAGUUGAACGUGGAAUUGGUGGAUCAGGAGAGGAUGUCACAUUUGUAAAGCCUCUCGAGUAAGAAAUCGACAGUGGAACAGGACACUGAUCGACACUGUUGGAGAUUUAACCCCAAUAAAGUCGAACCCAACUUAACGAUGGAUGGUAAGCUCUUGUCAGUGACCAUAGCGCAACCUGCCAUGGAUAGGAUCUGAAGUUUGAGUUUUUCAGAGGAAGCCAAUGCUUGAAUUCCAAAAUCAGAGACCGAGCAUUUCGAAAGAUCCAAAUCACUUAGAAUCUGGCAGUUUGCUGCAAUAGAGACUAGACUGGCGUCAGAGAUCUUGCUACAUCCAUCCAUGUUCAAGACUUCGAGAGUCAAACCGUUGCGAGCAGAGAUGGCAGAGACGACUCUGUCUGUCAAACCGGAACAGCCACUGAAGUUCACCUUCACAAGAGAGUUCUGAAGUAGAUGUAGAAAGCCAGACUCUGUUACCCCCUUGAGCCCACACAGCUCAAUAUCUUCGAGCUGAGGGCAUAGCUUCCCAAGAGCAGCAAGGUUUGCAUCUCCAAAGCCAGGGCAGUUGCGAACAGACAGAGAGCGUAGACCACUUCGAUGAGAUGAAGCAGGUAACCCCGUGGCGAGAUCUCUAAUCCCCAAACAGUUCACCAUUGAGAAAGCCUUCAGCUUUGCACCACAGUUCAAAAGAGAACCAAAAAACCCAAACUGGGUGACCCUGUGGCACUCUUCAAGCUGAAUACUCUCCAAUGACAAAGAACCCUUCGCAAAAGAGACCAAACCGUUGUCAGAUAACAACGGGGAUUUACUGAUCAACGCCUUUUUCAUGUUCGGGCAUCCCUUCCCCACAGAUUCAAGCCCCGCGUCGGUCACUCCCUGGCAGGCUGUGAUGGUUAGAGAGUUCAACUUUUGCAGUCCGAUACCAUUUCCCAUCACCCAGAAUCCCUUCUCGGUCACGUGAGACAGACCAGCGAGCACAAGUUCAGUGACCGAGAAGCCGUAAUGACCCACGACAGCAAGAGACACAUCAGUGACAUUAACCAUCUGAAGCUUAAGCUUCGUCAGCGAACACGUGGUGUUAGACAGUAGCGCGGCGAUUCCUUGAUCCCUGACCAGAGGACAGUUCUUGAUAGACACCGACUUAAGCUUGGAGCAAGACCGUGCAACAGCUUGCAGGCCUUCAUCUCCGAUGCUCGAACAAGCCUCCAGUGUAAGCUCGCUCAAGUUAGGGCAGCUCUUGGCAAUCGCCACCAAACACUUGUCGGUGAUUGCAGGGCAACGGCUCAGGUCAAGCUUCUCAAGCUGAGGGCAGCCCUCGGCGAUCUCCAAGAGACCAAUAUCAGUAACAGCAGAAAGGGAGAGCCGAGAGAAGGGCAGCUCCGACCAAUCGACCUAAGACCAAGAUCCGAAACCUUGUCGCUUCCGCGAACAGAGAGUUUUCCGAGUCCACCACGGCCAGCAGUUCCAACAGCGAUGGCAGCUAGUCUAACAUCAGUAGCCUUCUUCCCAUCUAAGCUCCUAGAUAAGCAUCCUUCAGAGUCAUCUUCGGUUUUGUGGUAGUCUAGGAGAUACUCAAUCAUAAUCUCUAGACACUUUUUUAAUCCAUAAAACUCCAUUAUCUUCUUCCAAACCAAACUGCCAUUGCCUUCUCAUAUUUCCCACCAUUUUUUCUCCUUAUCGAGGUGAUUCUGUUCCGAACCAACUUAUCUAGCUUAAUUAGCAAUCAGACAAAGAGUUGGCUUUGACGGGUCACCCACUCUUCUGACGUUCCUCUCAUGCCAUAGUGCAUAAACCACAGCUUGGAAACAAUAUCGAAAUAGGAAUGUCAAAGUUUCUCUUGUAAUCUAUUUACAUAUGAACUGCCUGAGACCAUUGAUAUAAACUCCCAUUACCCGCCAUAUCUCUAAUAAUCUCACUCCAAACUUUUUUGGAAAAAGAGCACUCAAAAACAAUGAUUUCUAGUUUUUGUUGCAGAUUUACAAAGCCAGCAAGUGGAUAUAGCCUGAGGAUUCUAUCUCAAUAUCCUAUCCCAUGUCGCUAGCUUGUUGUGCAUUGCAAUCCAAGAAAGAAAAGAAAAUUUAGGAGUGGCUUCAGGGAACCAAAUUCCUUUGAACCAUGACACUUUCGGCGACUGGACUCUUGUAAGGUUCCAUGUUUGAGAUGUAAGGAAACCAGAUUUAAAUUCUCCAUUCUCUCUUUUCCAUAGACAGACAUCCUCCAACUGAUUAAGCCAUAUGUUUCUGAGAUCCACAAUUUCCUUUUCUAUCAGCCGAAGGACAGGAACUCUGUGUGUUCUGGUCCACAUAUCUGGAUAGCUCUUUCCACCGUAUAGUUUACUUGAAUACCAAGAUCCAUGCUUCCUCUAUCCCCCGUUAGCUCAAUUAAUUUACCCAGUGGCAAUCAUUUAUCAAACCAAAAGGAUGUAAUAGAGCUGCUGUUUAUCUCCACUCUAGACAAUUGCGAAGCCAAAGGUCUCAGUUUUAAUAACUUCUUCCAUAUCCAAGACCCUAACACACUCUUCUCCUUAACACUCCAGAAAGAACCUUUCCUGAUGAGAUAUUUCCACAUCCACACUGCCCACAAAGAUGAUCUAGCAGACAGUAUGUGUCAGAUAAGCUUUAGACAUGAUACUCUGUUUGCUUCAGUUAGAUUUCUCAGACCUAAACUUCUUUCGUCUUUCGGUUUACAAACAUCUGACCAUGCUAUUUUAGCUUUCUGAGUCGACAAGACCGGGCCAGACCAGAGAAAAGCGAGCAUAUACUAUUAGCUUCAUGUAUGCACUUAUUAGGCAAUCUGUAAGCCGACAUCCAAAAAUUUGUUAUACUAUAUAUAACAGAACUAAUGAAUUGUAGCUGACCUGCAAAAGAAAAAUGCCUUGCAGUCCAGGACGCAACUCUAGCUCUUAUUCUUGAUAUGAGAGCCGUAAUCUUGGACAUUCAUUUUCUUUGUUAAUAGAGGAAGAUCGAGGUAUCUUAAGAGAUCCAGUUUCAAAAGGGAAUUGUUCCAGAAUAGCAGUGCUAUCAUCUGUUAAAAUCUAUGCGAUCACUUUAAGAGUUAUCCGUCUGUCCACUUUGUUUUUUAUUCGUUUACAUGUGCUUUGGAUUUACCUUUUCUAAAAAAUCCAUGUUAUUCAACCUCUUCUACUCUCACUUACGAUCAAGAUUGUGUGGAAGAAGACGCUCAGCUUCCAAUGAUUCCUUGUCUCCACUUUGAGGGUUCAUAAUUUGGGAACUUGGCCCACUUAAUUAAUGAUUAAGAUUAGUCAACAAAUAACAAUAAUAGCGACAACGAAUACUCUUAAUAAUGACUCGCUUUCUUACUUUAUUAUAAUCCCACUCAAAUCAUAUCGUAUCCACACAAAUAUAAUCGUUGGCCAGAUUCUUCUCAUCAACCACAUUCAUUGAACUAGACCACAUUUCGUUUUUGAAUGGGACACACACAAACGUAGAUCAAAGUCAAAAAGUCAUGUUUUCACAUACAAUCUGAUUCUCUGUCCCAUAUACAGUCUUAAAGGUGUAAUAAUUUCUCAGAUCUCGUAAGGAUAUCAAAAAUAAAAUAUAACGAAAUGAGAAUUUUAUUCAAUACUUCAUUAAACCAUCCCAAAGAGCAUAUACAUAACUUAGUACAGUUGUUCAUACAGAUCGUAAUACAGUGCCAGGGAAAAAAAAACGAGGGCUCUGGAAAAAAAAAACAACAAGAAAAAACUCUUUAAAGAGUUUGUUGCAACAAAAGCCAGAGCAAACCUCUAAGAAAGAACCCAUGGCAACCUGAACAAAAUCUUGAACACGUGUACACAUCACACAGACCCUUUCGAGGAAAACCAAACAUGAACAAGACAAGCGACGCAAAGAAAACGAAACAUACCAAACAGGAGAUGAUAAACCCUAAAAUCUCGGUAAUACCCGGUAAGUAUAAUCUCAAGCAACCACACGACAUUCCGGUUUCAUGGUAAGCUAGAGUUCCCCUGAUCAAAAGGGAAACCCCUGCAAAAACAACAUUAACUGGAAAAAGAAACCGGAAGCCGAACUACUUGGAAAAAAAGGGUAAUACUGAGCAUAGCGAGAGAGAGACACGCGCCUGAAAAAGAGCUGACACUUAACUUGGAACAGUACUAAGAUACCUUCAUUAUAGGUGGAUAGAGUUGAACGUGGAAUUGGUGGAUCAGGAGAGGAUGUCACAUUUGUAAAGCCUCUCGAGUAAGAAAUCGACAGUGGAACAGGACACUGAUCGACACUGUUGGAGAUUUAACCCCAAUAAAGUCGAACCCAACUUAACGAUGGA
RNAcentral lists this long non-coding RNA (4887 nucleotides) under Brassica napus (rape). RNAcentral's name for it is "long non-coding RNA (BNAP_LNC016273)". The record is from RNAcentral. Lineage: Eukaryota; Viridiplantae; Streptophyta; Magnoliopsida; Brassicales; Brassicaceae.